CCUACGGGCGGCAGCAGUGGGGAAUAUUGCGCAAUGGGCGAAAGCCUGACGCAGCGACGCCGCGUGAGGGAUGAAGGUCUUCGGAUCGUAAACCUCUGUCAGCAGGGAAGAACGGUCACUGUGCUAAUCAGCAGUGAAUUGACGGUACCUGCAAAGGAAGCACCGGCUAACUCCGUGCCAGCAGCCGCGGUAAUACGGAGGGUGCGAGCGUUAAUCGGAAUUACUGGGCGUAAAGCGCUCGUAGGCGGUAUGUCAAGUCAAGGGUGAAAUCCCCGCGCUCAACGGGGGAACUGCCUUUGAAACUGGCAGACUGGAGUGUGUGAGAGGAUAGUGGAAUUCCAGGUGUAGGAGUGAAAUCCGUAGAUAUCUGGAGGAACAUCAGUGGCGAAGGCGACUAUCUGGCACAUAACUGACGCUGAGGAGCGAAAGCGUGGGUAGCAAACAGGAUUAGAUACCCUAGUAGUC
This 465-nucleotide ribosomal RNA is filed under the name uncultured bacterium. RNAcentral describes it as "partial 16S ribosomal RNA". It matches the Rfam family "Bacterial small subunit ribosomal RNA", at positions 338 to 795 of the family's 1533-position model. The record is from RNAcentral.